This 220-nucleotide long non-coding RNA is filed under the name Gossypium barbadense (sea-island cotton). Its description in RNAcentral is "long non-coding RNA (GBAR_LNC013702)". Lineage: Eukaryota; Viridiplantae; Streptophyta; Magnoliopsida; Malvales; Malvaceae. The record is from RNAcentral.
UUGGUCAUCAUGAUUGUCUGGAUCUUCUAACAGGCCUUUGCCUUUAUCUAGCCUAGCUACUGCAGCUCUCAUUUUAUCCAUAUGUUCUUUAUGUUCUUUAUCCUGCUUUCCUAUGUCUUCUAGAGCUAUUCUUGUUUCUAGAGCAUCUACUCUUUGUUUUAAAUAUUUUAAUUCUAAUUUAUCUAAUUUCUGUUCUAAGGUUGGUUCUACCCAUCCGUAG